UCGAACACGGCCAAAGUGUAACGAAAGUCUAGUGACAUUUGUAAAACGAACAGCGCCAUCCGACGUCACGUCCGCUAAAACGAACGCGCAAGUGUACACUCCCCACGUAAGUAUAGAAAGUGUAGCUAGCACGAACAAACCUAUCUCUAUCAAAAUUGUGUUGAUACACUAAUCGUAGACGUGCGGAUUGAUAGAAAAACGAGUUAUCGAAAAAUGUUUCCAAAAAUUUUCAAUUAUUGAAGAUUAUCCCCUACCAAGAGGGGUUUACCUUUGUCAGGCCACAAAACAAAAUAGAAGAAAGGGGAAAAAUAUAACCCACAUUUGCGAUUACAAUAUUGAUAGCUUUAUUGUAUGCCACAAUAAAUUCCUAUGUGCAACUGGCUGAUUUGAAGAUGCACGAAAUUAUAAUUCAUGACAAACAUGAUAUAUCUACAUUAUGAAGUUAACUUAUCAGUCCAUAAUGAUAGAAUGUGCAGUGGAGUGAAGGUGCGUAUUAAAGUUACAUACAACAA
RNAcentral lists this long non-coding RNA (512 nucleotides) under Neodiprion pinetum (white pine sawfly). Its description in RNAcentral is "uncharacterized LOC124219617, transcript variant X2". The record is from RNAcentral. Lineage: Eukaryota; Metazoa; Arthropoda; Insecta; Hymenoptera; Diprionidae.